This 256-nucleotide long non-coding RNA is filed under the name Homo sapiens (human). Its description in RNAcentral is "HSALNT0088490". The record is from RNAcentral. Lineage: Eukaryota; Metazoa; Chordata; Mammalia; Primates; Hominidae.
GGGCACCACGCCCUGCCUAUCUCAGACAAGGAACUCCAGGCAGCAGUGGCGAAGCUAAGCAGCUCCAUCCUUAAGGGGCGGAGGCCGGCUCAUAUUUGCCUAUUAGGGCCGUGGGACGCCGAGGUUCUGCUGGGUCCCUCCUGGAAAUAGAUCCUUCCCAGCCAGCACCCGAAGUCAGCAGCAGAGGGCAAAGCACCUGGGCUUUAUUUAGCUCCAAGCUCCACGAUCCUCCUGGGACCAAAAAGCUGGACAUCAU